Pyrus x bretschneideri (Chinese white pear) is the source of this 107-nucleotide small nucleolar RNA. The record is from RefSeq and is a predicted model, not a curated record. Lineage: Eukaryota; Viridiplantae; Streptophyta; Magnoliopsida; Rosales; Rosaceae.
AGAUUAUGCUUGGGACAUUUGAAAAUGAGGCUCUUGAAGUCUUUCUAAGCUUCAAAGAACAAAUCACCAUCUUUUUAUUGGAAGUAUUGGAUUUCCCUUUUUAGUUU